AGAGUUUGAUCAUGGCUCAGGACGAACGCUGGCGGCGUGCUUAACACGUGCAAGUCGAGGGGGCCACUUCGGUGGUCACCGGCGAACGGGUGCGUAACACGUGAGCGACCUGCCCCACCGGUGGGGAAUAGUCGGCCCAACGGCCGGGUAAUACCGCAUUCGCUCUUUUCGGGGCAUCUCGGAGAGAGGAAAGCUCUGGGCAACCAGGGCGCCGGGGGAGGGGCUCGCGGCCUAUCAGCUAGUUGGAGGGGUAACGGCCCACCAAGGCUAUGACGGGUAGCUGGUCUGAGAGGAUGGCCAGCCACAUUGGGACUGAGAUACGGCCCAGACUCCUACGGGAGGCAGC
RNAcentral lists this ribosomal RNA (346 nucleotides) under uncultured soil bacterium. RNAcentral describes it as "bacterial SSU rRNA". It matches the Rfam family "Bacterial small subunit ribosomal RNA", at positions 8 to 352 of the family's 1533-position model. The record is from RNAcentral.